Molecule: long non-coding RNA, 487 nt
Organism: Caretta caretta (loggerhead turtle)
Lineage: Eukaryota; Metazoa; Chordata; Testudines; Cheloniidae
Source: RefSeq, a predicted model, not a curated record
GUAAAACCCUUUCACCUGUAAAGGGUUAAGAAGCUAAGAUAACCUUGAUGGCACCUGACCAAAAUGACCAAUGAGGAGAUAUGAUACUUUCAAAUCGGGGGAGGGGAGGAAACAAAGGUUUCGUCUAUCUGUGUGAUGCUUUUGCCGGGAACAGAUCAGGAAUGGAGUCUCAGAACUUCUGUUAGUUAGAGCUUUGAGGCAUUCCUCUGUUUACAACGAUGUAUCAGCUUACUGUUGAAAACUGGCAGUAUUUCAUCAUAAUGUCAAGAACGUGUUGCACCGUCACCAUCCAUGAUUCCCAGUAUCUAUAUGUGCUGCACUUAAAAACUUGAUUUUCAAGUAGUUCCAGUUUCUCACUUCAUUCCAUCAUCAUCAGAUGCCAAGAAAAGCACCAAACUGAAGCAUCAGGAAGUACAUGAUUUAACAAAGCUGAAAAAUUAUUGAAAGUUCCUAAAUAAACAGCUAAAAUCACCAACACUAAAUCAUU